UUAAUGGUGUGUCUACAAUGGGCUUAAAGUUUGAUCUAAUUAAAUCCUAUUCUAUAGGUUCACUAGAUUGUGUCGGUUGAUCUAUCUAUCGAAUUUCAUCAAGUUCAACCUUAGAUGCAUUAGUUUCUCAUCAAGAAACUCUUUUUCUAAAAAGAUUGUAUUAAGAUUGAUGAACACCUUUUGUUCAUCAGUAAGGUAAAAAUAAUAUCGCUUAGUAUUUUUUAGAUAUCCUAUAAUAUACUUGUCAGAUCUAGGUCCAAGCUUGUCUGUUAUUAAACGCUUGAUAUAAGUUGGACACCCUCAGAUCCUAAGGUGUGAGAGAACUGGCUUACACCCUGUCUA
Molecule: long non-coding RNA, 342 nt
Filed under: Elaeis guineensis (African oil palm)
Lineage: Eukaryota; Viridiplantae; Streptophyta; Magnoliopsida; Arecales; Arecaceae
Description: long non-coding RNA (EGUI_LNC037552)
Source: RNAcentral